UCUUCCCCAAUCUCGUCGUUCAUCGCCACCCAAUCUCCUACACCAUCCUUUUCGCCGCCGCUAACCAUAAUACCCACGCCGGCGACUAUUUGCCAAGCUUCCACCUUCUGUCAUUGAACACUCCCCGCUGACUCCACCCAAGCCUCCCUUCGUCUUUGUGAACCGAAUCCCGUUGAUCAUCACCACCUAGUGUUCUUCCAGUCCUCCAUCGUCGUCCGCCAAAGCUUUUCUCAACCGUGAUCACACUUGCGACCACGAUAACCCAUGCCGGUAACCAUCUGACACACUUUCACCUACUCACACUUGAGUCUCCUUUCAUUUUUAUCCACCCACCAUAGAUUUCACCUUGGGUCGUCGGCCAGUGCUUGGCCAUUUCCUUACACUUCACUCUCGCCAUUCGCUUUGUUCACUCCAUUAUCAUUCAGUGCCGUUGAUAACCACAGAAGCUGUACUCACUACCACUUUGUUUCCCUCACCAUCAACCCCCAGCCCCCCUUCGCAAUUCAUUCUUCUGCAUUCCUUCACUCCAUCUUUGUUUGUCGAUCAUCAUAGCCCACGACAUUCACCUCCCUCUACUCCAUUUUCAGCCAUUUUUCUUCCCAUCACCGAGCUCUGUUCGCUAUUCGUGCUCUGCUGUCAACCCUUUUCAUCCAUGCCUUUGACCAUUCAAUCACUACCGCUAUUCAUUCAUUCAACUUGGGUUCUGAAUUUUGGGUGCUGCAUUUUUGUCAGAGGUUUUUAGGUUGCUGUUUUUUUGUUUCCUGAGCCUUGAUUUCUACUCGUUUCUUUGCUCUUCCUACUCACUUCGUGAUUUGUGUUUGACUGCCAUCAAGCUCUAAAAGUAGGUUCGAAUCAAUGAUAGGCCAUCCGGGUAAGGAAAGAGGAAGGAAAGUGAAGGUUUGUUCUUUGUGUUACACGCCGUGGCGCGUAGUUCGUCCGCCACGGCGCACGAAGAUAAAUUUAAAUGCAACUGACUCCUCUGUGCCAUGCGCCAGGGCGGGGCAAAAUUUUUGAUAAUUCAAAUCGCAUCUGUGCGAGAAAAACAGAAGAGAAGGAAAAGAAGGAAAAGAAGAGAGCAUUGGGCUCUGUUAGGGCACGCAUAUUGGCUUCCAUUGUUGACAUUUUAAAUUUCUUAAACACUCAAGGUAAGUUUAUGGUGUCCUCUUCUUCCUUUCUCUUCCUCAUUUAUGAUGAUUUGUGGUAGGGUUUGACUUGGGAGAUGGAUUUUCGGUCUAUAGGAGUAUGGGUUUGAUUUCAUUGGUUAAAAUGAGUAUAAUGAGAGUUGUUUAAUUUAUUGAGAUAUCAUAUUGAUGAUUUUGAAAAUGAUUGGUCCAUUGAAGCUUUUAUUAUCUAAAAAUUAAUAUAAAUAUGGUAGUUGGGAUAUGUUAAUGUACAUUAAUGAUGAUUUAAGGUAUUAUUAAUGAUAAGGUGCAUUAAUAGAAUUUUACGAGCCAAUUGGUAUGAAUGGGUAGUGAUUAUGAGUUGACAAAAAUAAAGUGUGUAGAGUUAUAUGUUGAAAAAGCUUUAUGAGUUAGACAAUGACAAAAUUCUUGUGGUAUGGAUGUAGAGAGGUUCAUUUUUGGCACCAUUCGAGCUUGUUGAAGCUUUGAAAAGUUGGUAUAGUGAGGGGUAAACCUUUAACCUCUCAAAGAUUUGACGUAAUCGGGGGAAAACUUAAUUUUUAUAGUUGAAUGUUAAUUGUGUUCGUGAAAUAUGAUUUAUGAGUUAAAUUGAUGAUGCAUAUUGGCAAAGUGUUGAUUUGCGAAAUGAUUUUUAGAAAGAAAACUUUGAUUUUGCUGCCCUUGGUGUUUUGUGAAAUUGAUUAUGAUUUAUUACUAUGGGUGGAGAAUUGUGAUAUAUUAUGUGUUGACUUGUGAAGUAUUGAGUUAUGUGAGAUUGAUUGCCAUACAUUUAUUUUUUAAUGCAUAAUAUGUGAGAAUUAUGCAUAGCAUGAUAUUGGUGGGAGUUUCCCUAGGGAGGGGAGUAGAUUGGUUGACAUCUACAUGGAAUUUGGCAGUGACCGUUGGAAUCGAGAACUAAUCGUGGCAUUGAUUAUUGAAAUCGGAAGGUAGCCCUUGUCUCAUGAUUGAUUUAAGACUGCCCCACUUGUUUUAUGAGUGACUCGAACCUAACUAGUCUCCACCGGUUCAUGAGGAGGUUAGAUUAGGGGUACGACACUUUAUGAUUAUUAGUAUUGGGAAAAACUGGAUUACAUAAGUGAGAGAGUUCACCUUGGCCUAGUAGCUCCUCACAAGUGAAAGGUUGGGUUAGUCCAUAAAGGAUGUAGCUACGUGAUAGCCACCGGUUUCGUGUCGGAGAUAACAGGAAGAUAUAAGGUUGGCAUAGAAUCAUGCAUAUAAAUUUGGCCACAUGGUUGCUAGUUUUGUGGUUUGGCAUGUAUUGAGAGUGCAUGGUUAUUAUUUUUGUCACCCUGUGAUAUAUUUUUGCUAAAUAAUAUGAUAAAAUAUUUUGUGGCAAUCCCAAUCACAUGGUGAUUAGUUUUGUGAAUCGUGGCUGAGUGUUAUGUGCUAAUUAUAUUUAUUUGCUUAAUUGCAUCUAUUUAUAAUUAAUAUGCAACUGUAUGAGUUAAGUGAAACUUGGUUAUUGAGUAGUUGUACUCAUCCCUCAAUUCUCAAUUCUCAAUAUUAAGAUUUGGGACAUAUUGGAAAUUUGUGCCCUGUGCUUUCAUAUGACAGCAUCAAAUUUCAUACAAUGCGCCGUGGCGUAUGUUAGGUGCAUGUGCUGUAAGUCGUAAUGCACGUGACAUUUUUUGCACAAAAUUUGUUUUUGAAUUUUAAAACUUAUUUUUUGAGUCUCAAUUGAUUUUCUUUCAAGCUUUCAUUUUGUUUUUAAAACUCUGAUUUGGAGCUUCUUAAAUUAUGUUUGAGAUUUGAUUUGUCGAGAUUGAGAAUUUUUUAAAAGAAUUUGAAAAAUUCUUUUUGUAAAACUUUACAAUUUAGUAAUGCUUUGAGGGUAAAAUCUUAGAUUAUCCUGAUUUAGAGUAAUUUAUGAUUUAGUCUUUGGGAGGUUACAUCGCUCCCUAUUGACUUAUUGGAGGUACCACAACCUUUUAAGUUGAAGUCCCUUAGGAAUGAAAUCAUUGAAGAUAGGAAUUUAAAUGUUGUGACAGAAUAAGAGGUGGCACCUACUAAUGAUGAGCCAAGUGGGCCAUCUGUGCCAUUUGAGGAGGGCGUUCUCAAAAUGUUAUAUGAUUUUACAAUGCGCUUAGAGCAAGUUCAGCAUGAUGUUUCUAUACUACAGGACAUGGUUGCGGCAAUUGAGUGAUGAGUGCCUCUGGCACCUUAGUUUGUCCUAUUCAGGAGGACUUUAAUUUGUAUCUUAAUUAAUUUUCUUUUGGAUAACUAUAGGACUAUUUAUGCAUUUUCUUUAACUUUUCUAUUUACAUUAAAAAGAUUAUUAUGAGAUCUUAUGUCCUUGUUCCAUGUCUCAUCAUGAUAUUCUGUAGAUUACAAGGUUUUUAUCCUCUCUCUCUACAUUUAGAUCACUUACAUUUCUCCAUUCUAUUAAGGGAGUGUCAGUUUCCUUCCCCCUCUCUCUUGUUUUUAUCGUUCAUUUAGAGAAAACCUUAGGAAAGCAAGAGGGGAAUUCUUAAAGCUUGGGAUUAAGAAGUGGAGCAAAUUUUCAUUUCACCUCAUUUUUUUAGUGCUUUUUCUUCUUUUCCUUUAUGCUGAUAGUUUUGAAUCUUUUUUGUGCUAUUUUUGUGUUCAUAUUAGUUAUGUGUAGCUAAAUCUUCUCGUUUUAGAGGACUAUGAACCUAUUUGUGUAAACAACCUUGGAUUUACCAUUUUGUUGUUGAGAAAUGAAGUUUUGAUUACUUAUUCUUGAGCUAUAUUAUUCUUGUUUCGUGACUAGCCACCACUAGGUGAGAUUUGGGCAUUUGAGUUGAACCUUAGAAGAGGAGACUCAAAUUGAACCUUGAAAACUAGUAGCCUAGGAUUAGUUUGCUAAUUUUUCAUUAGAAUAGGAAUAUAUCUAAUAGACUUAGGUAAUCCUCAUGAGUUAGAGUCUGUAAUAUAACUAAUUAAUUAAGGUAAUAAUUUGCUUUAAUUGAAUUAAUUAGGAUCUUUAGUGAUCGGAAGAACUUUGGAUUAAUUUAAAUUUCAAAAUUAUCAAAAUUGAAUUUCGAGACAAUUAAUGUGAUAAUGAGAGUGUUAGAAAGCAAAUAAGAGAUUAGGACUUUAGAAUGCUAUUCUUUUGGUUAACUUUAGUUGUUUGUGGAUUGAAAGUUAUUUUAAUUGAUCAUUUUUAAUAUUUUCAUUUUAAUUGUUCUAAAAUCAAUCUAGUUUUAUUAGCUUCACGUGAAUGAAUUUAAAAAUUUCAAUGCUUAAUUGCCAUUUUAAUUAAUUUCCUAAGAGAUUAAUCUUGAUUUACCACUAGCUUCAAUUGCGGCUCGUACACUUGCGAUGUCUCUUAAUUUUUGUGGGCAUCAAUAUUGGAUUUCAUGGAGAGACCAAUGGAUAAUAUGAAUUCCCUCCAUUAUCUAAUAUAAUGAAUCCUAGCUUUGCAUAGUGGAUAAUCAAGGGAAACAUAGAUGCAGACCAUUCUUGUACUUUAGCAAUGACAUGAGAAAUUCCCAAAAGGCCCGUAACCUUCUUCCAAUUUUGAAAGAGAUGUAGAGGAAUCAAAUUUGGUAUCUCUAUAAAAUGCCCAAAAUAGCCCUAGCUAUUUCUAUAAAUAUAUAUUCUCUUAACUCUAUAUCAUAUAGUUUGAUGAUAGGAGAUGGAUUUGACACAUAAUGAGUCCCAAGCAACAAGGUGGCAAUAUGACUUGAUAAAUGACCAACUCAAUCUUCUCCAAGAUAUAUAAUGGACUAAUAAAUCUAGAAGUUAAAUCCAUGCCUCAACUUGACCUCCUAAUUCUUGUUCAUUGGUAUGACCCUCUAGAACACAGACACCUACCAAAAUUUCUAAUAGACUUCUCUAUCUAUCAUAAGAACUCUCUAUCUAAUUGGAGCCACUACAUUUUCCACUCUUAUCUCAAUCUUUUAGGUGGUCUAAUCUACCAUCUAUAGUCCAAUAAUGCCCCUUCAAUCAUUUAAAUCAAUCGAACACAAAUGAUUUACAUUCUUGUCCAUAAUGCCUUAUACAAGGUCAUCUAAAACAUGUUUUACUUCAUGAUUGCACUCCCUCAUAGUUUAAACUUCACCAUCUUUCAUUUAUUUUAGUAGUUAUUGCCUUAUCAUUAGUGACAAUAAAGUCUGACAUAUAGACAACUGCUUAUCAUCCAAGUUCCUAGUGACUAAUCCAUUGGGUUUGAAGUAGAAAGAUCGUGGUUAAAACAUUUGAUCACAAACUAAGGCCAUUCAAUUGUGGCCUUAGAGAGUGUCAUAUAGCUAUACUAGCCAACAAUUGGUUAAUAUUAAAAAUUUGUUUCACAACAUAGUUAACUUACAAUCUACUUUUAUCAUUUUCCAUAUUGUAUCUCAAUGUGAUCAUUCUAUCCUCAUAAAUUUGUUAAUUAGCCCAAUUGAUCUAUUGCAUCUCUAUUGCGUUACGCUGAUCAAUUGUUUCUAUCGUGUUUAAACUAUCUUAUAUGAAUUUUUCUAUUAAGUUAUGUGAACUUUGUAUUUUGUCUGGGCAUAUUUUGCAUUUAAUAAAAAAAUAAAUUCAACUAAAAAAUAUAAAAAUAUAAAAAUAAAAUUUAAUCCUUUUUAGGAUUAUAUUUAAAAAAAAAAUCUAAUGAAAAAAAAUCUUGUUUAAAUCCUUUAAAAUCUUUUCCAAAUUAUCCCAAUCAUUCAAAAUAUUGAGAAUCUACUUUGUGAGAAUCAACUAUUUUUUUAAAAAAAGUUUAUUUCCUUAAAUCUUGUUGCUUUCCAUUAAAAGAAAAAGAUAUUCUUGCGUAAUUCAAAAUUAUUUGUCUCUCUCUUAAUCUAAUUUUCAAAAUUUUAAUUAAACAUAACAUAAAAAAAAAAGAAAAGGAAGGAAAGCAUCACAUGCAUGGCAAUUGAGCUUUAGUGACAAACGCAGUCUCCAGUGCAAAGAAACAAAAAUGCAGAGUAUGCACACGGAACAGAGAUAGCAUAGAUGAAAAACAGAGAAAGCAGAAAGCAGAUGCAAAAGAACAGAAACAAAGCACACGAACACAGCAACGCAGAGAGAGAGAGAGAGAGAGAGCAGAUUGGCCACACAUAAAGCAAAGAGCAGAAGAAAAGCGGACGAAAUCAUAAAGGAAGGCAACAAAAAAAGCUUCACUUUGUAGAAGAGACACAUGCAUGUUGCAGAAGAAAAGAAAAACAAAGCAGAAACACAGCACAUACGCAGCAGACGAAAACACAGAGAGAAAGAGAGAGAGAGCAGACUUGGCUACACGCAAAGCAAAGGGUAGAAGAGAAGCUCACAGAUGCAAGCGUAGGAGUCAAAGAGAUGAGCUGCAUGCAACAGGAUUGGGGAUCUCAUUCUACCUUACAUAUAAAAACCGACACGGUGAAGGGGAGAAAGGGAGGAGGACUUAGUAUUUGCUUCUGGAGGUCAGAGUGAGAGAAAAAGGAAGAACAAGAGAAAAACAAAGAAAAGGCUGAAACAAAAGAGAGAGAUAGAUAGUGAGAGAGAAGUGACAAGGAUGAAGGAGAUUUCAAAACAGACUUUGAAGUAAGAGAGUGAUAGAGAUGGGGAGGGGACGAAAAAUAGAGGAAAGAGCUUAAGGAAUUUCUGGAAGGUAGAUUGAAUUUGGGAUUGAGAGUGAUUUUCUAGAUUUGAGCUCGAGAGAACGAACAAGGAAUAAGGAUAGAGGAUGCUGAAUGAUUGAAGAUUCAGAGGGAGAAGCAACAACUGAUUGAGCACUCGAGGAAGCUAGAUUAUGCACACAAUAGGGUGAAGAUGAAAGGUGAUGAAGCAGAGAGUAAUAGCUCAGUUUCAAAUGGGUAACGAUCUCUGCAUGUUCAUUCUUCAAAGCUUAAUCUGUGGGAUUAAUGAAGUAAUUAGGGAAUUUCAAAAUUUGUAUAGAUUACAUGAUUUAUUUUGUGAGGCAUUGUACCAAGUUAUGCAUUUUGGGAUUCUCUUUUUCUUUUUGUACGUUUUAGACUAUCAUUGAAAUUAUUUCUGAUUGUGAGCUUCACAAUUAUUUGUUGGUUAUAAAAUUCUUAAUAAUGUAUAAUAUUUAAAUCUA
Prosopis cineraria is the source of this 7125-nucleotide long non-coding RNA. RefSeq lists it as uncharacterized. NCBI's taxonomy places the organism in Eukaryota, Viridiplantae, Streptophyta, Magnoliopsida, Fabales, Fabaceae. The transcript has 2 exons. The record is from RefSeq and is a predicted model, not a curated record.